RNAcentral lists this ribosomal RNA (468 nucleotides) under uncultured bacterium. Its description in RNAcentral is "partial 16S ribosomal RNA". It matches the Rfam family "Bacterial small subunit ribosomal RNA", at positions 28 to 507 of the family's 1533-position model. The record is from RNAcentral.
GACGAACGCUGGCGGCGUGCUUAACACAUGCAAGUCGAACGGAAAGGCCCUGCUUUUGUGGGGUGCUCGAGUGGCGAACGGGUGUGUAACACGUGAGUCACCUUCCCUUUACUUUGGGAUAACCUCAGGCGACUGCGGCUACUACAGGAUAGGAGCUCCUGCUACAUGGGGGGGGUUGGAAAGUUUCGGCGGUUAUGGAUGGACUCGCGGCUAACCAGCUUGUGGGGGGGGGAGCUGCUAACCGAGUCAUCGACUGUUCGCCGGCACUGGAGGUGGGACGGCCACAAUGGGACUGCGAGACGGCCCAGACGCCUACGGGAGGCAGUAGGGGGGAAUAUUGCACAAUGGGCCGAAGCCUGAUGCAGCGACGCCGCGUUCGGGAUGACGGCCUUCGUGUUGUAAACCGCUUUCAGCUGAGACGAAGCGUGAGUGACGGUACCGGCAGAAGAAGCACCGGCUAACUACGUG